Molecule: non-coding RNA, 793 nt
Organism: Fundulus heteroclitus (mummichog)
Lineage: Eukaryota; Metazoa; Chordata; Actinopteri; Cyprinodontiformes; Fundulidae
Source: the annotation of a RefSeq genome assembly
CUCUGCUCAACAUGGACUAUUAUGGACUUUCUCUGAUCGUUGCCUCACUUCUAACAGGAGUCAGCUGUAAAGAACUGACAGCAGUCAAAGAUAAAGAGUCCAGUCAAGAAGGCAGCUCUGUUACUCUGUCCUACAGAUACUCUGAAAAAGCAACUGGUUCUGAUUAUUUCUACUGGUAUCGACAAUAUCCAGGAAAACCUCCAGAGUUCCUGAUCUCUCAUUUUGGAUCAGGAAAAGAAAUAUCUCAGCCAGUUCCUGGUCUGUCCUUUAAAGUGAGUGAAGAUAAAACCCAGAUGGACCUGCUGAUCUCCUCUGCUGCAGUGACAGACUCUGCUGUGUACUACUGUGCUGUGAAGCCCACAGUGACAGGAAACACCAGAACUCUGUACAAGAACCUGCAGUACUCCACAACAUCCACUAGAGGGCCUCACACACUGUUCAACCACUGAUUGUUGAGUCCUUGGACUGAUGACAAAGACAACAGAGACAUGAAGCAGUAAAGAUCAGAGACAGAGCUGCUGUGGAAGCAGGAAACUCUUUGAUUGGUUGAGUAAAAGUGGCCCCGCCCACUGAACUUCAGCUCCUCCAAUGACAUUAUGUCUUCCUCCUGCAGUGGAGGAACAUUGUUCAUCUGCUGUGUGGCUUUCAGAGCUCCACAGACAUGUUGCUUUACCUCUUUUUGCUUCUAUCUCACAUUAGAGGUGAGUUUAAGAACAGGGAUUCAGGUUUUGUUCCAGCUGCUGCAUUAACCACAGAUACAGACUGCAUUUCACUACUUUUCUGCUUCCUUUGC